RNAcentral lists this long non-coding RNA (552 nucleotides) under Capsella rubella. Its description in RNAcentral is "long non-coding RNA (CRUB_LNC001787)". Lineage: Eukaryota; Viridiplantae; Streptophyta; Magnoliopsida; Brassicales; Brassicaceae. The record is from RNAcentral.
UUACAGUAACCAUUUAUUUAGUAUUUUACCAACGUUGAAGAAAUUUAUUAAGGAACAACACUUGAUAAUUCGAUAACAAAGGAACAAACAUGAAACAACGACACACGUCUUUCUUUGUUUCAAACAAACAAACAUUAACCUCCCAGACGCUUACUUAGAACGAUCUACAAACAGAUCGAUGAUACAUAGUGAACAUAUCAGGGAGCAAUGUUAAUUACCACGCUUACAUCUGUUGUACAUGGUACACGGCUUGUUAUUAUAUGUCUUACGGGCUACGAGACAAAGGUCAUACUUAGGAGAGUUACAUGUCUGCCGACGCGGAAAGGUCUUCGGCGUUAAGUAUUGUUUUCCAGCUGCAAGAGAAUCCCAAAAUUCAUCAGCUCCCCCAUCUUCAUGAACGAUUGUGAGAUUUCCCCAACCAUUUGUCAUCUUCCCUGAGGUUGCAACGGCAAGGAGCAAGAGGAGGAGGACGAAGACUAUUGACUUCAUUGUCUUCAAUUAUUUGUCCCUUUUUUUUUUUUUUGUAGUGGAGGAGUGAUUUGUUUUUUGUUG